GAUGAAGAACGCAGCGAAAUGCGAUAAGUAGUGUGAAUUGCAGAAUUCAGUGAAUCAUCGAAUCUUUGAACGCACAUUGCGCCCCUUGGUAUUCCAUGGGGCAUGCCUGUUCGAGCGUCAUUUGUACCCUCAAGCUUUGCUUGGUGUUGGGUGUUUGUCCCGCGUUCUUUUGCGCAAGACUCGCCUUAAAUCAAUUGGCAGCCGGCAUGUUAGCCUGGAGCGCAGCACAUUUUGCGCCCCUUGCUUGCAUGUGUUGGCCCCCAUCAAGGCCAUAUAUUUGCUCUUGACCUCGGAUCAGGUAGGGAUACCCGCUGAACUUAAGCAUAUCAAAAGCGAGGA
Molecule: unclassified non-coding RNA, 339 nt
Filed under: soil metagenome
Description: partial contains 5.8S ribosomal RNA, internal transcribed spacer 2, and large subunit ribosomal RNA
Rfam family: 5.8S ribosomal RNA (bases 1-120)
Source: RNAcentral